AGAAAAAUUGCUUGAACCCAGUAGGCAGAGUUGCAGUGAGCUGAGAUCGCACCACUGCACUCCAGCAUGGGUGACAGAA
RNAcentral lists this small nuclear RNA (79 nucleotides) under Homo sapiens (human). Its description in RNAcentral is "partial ncRNA". The record is from RNAcentral. Lineage: Eukaryota; Metazoa; Chordata; Mammalia; Primates; Hominidae.